GACGAACGCUGGCGGCGUGCUUAACACAUGCAAGUCGAACGGAAAGGCCCGGCUUUUGCGGGGUGCUCGAGUGGCGAACGGGUGAGUAACACGUGAGUAACCUGCCCUUGACUUUGUGAUAACUUCAGGAAACUGCGGCUAAUACCGCAUAGGAGCUCCUGCUGCAUGGUGGGGGUUGGAAAGUUUCGGCGGUUGUGGAUCGACUCGCUGCUUAUCAGCUUGUUGGUGGAGUAGUGGCGUACGAAGGCUUUGACGGGUAGCCGGCAUGAGAGGGUGAACGGCGACAUUAGGCCUGCGAGACGGACCAGACGCGUACGGGAGGCAGCAGUGGGGAGUAUUGCGGAGUGGCGGCAAGCGUGAUACAACAACGCUGCGUGCGGGAAGCCGGCCUUCUGGUUGUGAACCGCUUUCGCCGGAGACGAAGCGUGCGUGACGGUAAUGGGUCAAGAAGCAACGGCUAACUACGUG
RNAcentral lists this ribosomal RNA (468 nucleotides) under uncultured bacterium. RNAcentral describes it as "partial 16S ribosomal RNA". It matches the Rfam family "Bacterial small subunit ribosomal RNA", at positions 28 to 507 of the family's 1533-position model. The record is from RNAcentral.